This 758-nucleotide ribosomal RNA is filed under the name uncultured Enterobacteriaceae bacterium. Its description in RNAcentral is "bacterial SSU rRNA". It matches the Rfam family "Bacterial small subunit ribosomal RNA", at positions 28 to 774 of the family's 1533-position model. Lineage: Bacteria; Pseudomonadati; Pseudomonadota; Gammaproteobacteria; Enterobacterales; Enterobacteriaceae. The record is from RNAcentral.
AUUGAACGCUGGCGGCAGGCCUAACACAUGCAAGUCGAACGGUAACAGGAAGCAGCUUGCUGCUUUGCUGACGAGUGGCGGACGGGUGAGUAAUGUCUGGGAAACUGCCCGAUGGAGGGGGAUAACUACUGGAAACGGUAGCUAAUACCGCAUAAUGUCGCAAGACCAAAGAGGGGGACCUUCGGGCCUCUUGCCAUCGGAUGUGCCCAGAUGGGAUUAGCUAGUUGGUGAGGUAACGGCUCACCAAGGCGACGAUCCCUAGCUGGUCUGAGAGGAUGACCAGCCACACUGGAACUGAGACACGGUCCAGACUCCUACGGGAGGCAGCAGUGGGGAAUAUUGCACAAUGGGCGCAAGCCUGAUGCAGCCAUGCCGCGUGUAUGAAGAAGGCCUUCGGGUUGUAAAGUACUUUCAGCGGGGAGGAAGGGGUUAAGGUUAAUAACCUUAGCCAUUGACGUUACCCGCAGAAGAAGCACCGGCUAACUCCGUGCCAGCAGCCGCGGUAAUACGGAGGGUGCAAGCGUUAAUCGGAAUUACUGGGCGUAAAGCGCACGCAGGCGGUCUGUCAAGUCGGAUGUGAAAUCCCCGGGCUCAACCUGGGAACUGCAUUCGAAACUGGCAGGCUUGAGUCUCGUAGAGGGGGGGUAGAAUUCCAGGUGUAGCGGUGAAAUGCGUAGAGAUCUGGAGGAAUACCGGUGGCGAAGGCGGCCCCCUGGACGAAGACUGACGCUCAGGUGCGAAAGCGUGGGGAGCAAACA